This 28-nucleotide small RNA is filed under the name Bombyx mori (domestic silkworm). RNAcentral's name for it is "ovarian small RNA-13018". The record is from RNAcentral. Lineage: Eukaryota; Metazoa; Arthropoda; Insecta; Lepidoptera; Bombycidae.
CACGAUAUGGGUAUCGACAGGUGGCACU